RNAcentral lists this long non-coding RNA (4810 nucleotides) under Solanum tuberosum (potato). RNAcentral's name for it is "long non-coding RNA (STUB_LNC004872)". The record is from RNAcentral. Lineage: Eukaryota; Viridiplantae; Streptophyta; Magnoliopsida; Solanales; Solanaceae.
GUUCAAGUAUGCAAAGGGGCAGGCUUAUCACAUAAGUUAUGCACAAAAGGAAGAAAAGGUAAAGUUAAAGGAGACAGUAAUUGUAUUUUGCCUACAAGGGUUCAAGCUAGGAAGGUUGCCAAAAUAGUUUCUAAAUGAAGUACAAAGCUUUAUUUUGGAAUAUUAGGUCUGUUAAUACUCUACAAGCAUUUCACAGAGUUCAAAUGCUCCACAAACAUCAUAAGUUUUUGUUGAGGGCAUUAAUGGAGCCAUUUCAAAAUUCUAGGCAUAUUCAGAGAUACAAAAGAAGAUUGGGGAUGCACUACGUCAACUACAAUGUGAAUGGUCAAAUUUGGGUGUUUGUGAAGCAACACGUUCAUGUAGGAGUUAUAGCUGACUCGGAGCAACAGUUAACUUUACAACUCACUCUGGAAAAUGGGGAGCAACUUUUGGUAUCUGUUGUAUAUGCAAAAUGUUCUGCUAUUGAGAGACUUUCUCUCUGGGAUGAGAUAUUCACAAUAAGCCAAGAAUAUGUUGUCCCCUGGAUGAUCGGGGGUGAUUUUAAUGUGAUAUUGCGUGAAGAAGAAAAGAUUGGUGGUUUACCAGUAUAUCCCCAGGAGUAUGAAGAUUUUGCUGAAUGUUUAAAUGCAAGUGGUUUGGCUGAUAUUACUUUCUCAGGAAACCCUUUCACCUGGUGGAAUGGUAGGGUAGAUGGGGAAUGCAUUUUUAAGAGAUUGGAUAGGGUAGUGGUGAAUAAUUAUUUCUGGAUUCAUAUGGCAAUUCAUGGGUACAACAUUUGGCUAGGACUGGGUCUGAUCAUGCCCCACUCCUGCUUACUUGUGGAGCCAGUAAAGGUACUAUUGUCAAACCUUUUAGGUUUCUCAAGUUUUGGACUGAAAGAGAGGAUUUUAAAGAAGUGGUGGAGCAGAACUGGGUGGCUGAGAGUUCAGAUGAUAUUUUUGUACAGCUUAAGCAGAAACAGAAGAGGACCAAGAAGGCUUUAGCCAAGUGGAGUAAAGAAAAAUUUGGGGAUAUUUUUUAACAAUUAGCAAUUAGAGAAGAGAUUGUGAAAUUGAAGAAGCAACUAUUUCUUGACGAUCCAUCACCCGCUAAUAGAAGUAUUCUUCAGAAGGCUUAUGCAGAGCUGAAGGUUUAUUUACACUUUGAAGAAGUGUUCUGGAGACAAAAAGCUAGUGUGCAGUGGUUUGAGGAAGGGGACAGGAACACUAAAUUUUUUUCACAGUUUAGUGAGAGGAAGAAGAAAGAGGCUUACAUGAGGAGAAUAAUUAAAUCUGAUAGCUCAUGGGAUGAAUCAAAAAAUGCGAUUGCAGAAGAAGGGGUUAAUUUUUUACCAAAUAAUUUACUGCAGGGGUUAAUCAUUCUGACCUAUCUCUACUAAUGCAUAUUAAUCCUAUAAUCUCACAAAAGGAAAAUGAUAUAUUGACCAAGUUACCUGAUGAGGCUGAGAUCAAGAGGUUAGUAUUUGAGUUAAAUGCAGAAAGCUCUUGUGGACCAGAUGAUUUUUCUGGUUGUUUUUAUCAAAACUGUUGGGACACUGUUGGUUUAGAUGUGAUAAAAGUAGUUUCAGGCUUUCUUCAAAGGAGCUACUUUACCUAAGUCUAUUACUCAUACUAACUUGGUGCUAUUACCUAAAAAGGAUUUUCCUCAAUCCUUUUCUGAUCUUAGACCUAUUAGCUUGAGUAAUUUCCUUAAUAAAAUCAUAUCUAGAUUGGUGCAUGAUAGAAUGGAGGUGUUGUUUCCUAGAUUGAUAUCCCAGAAUCAAUCUGAAUUUGUCAAAGGAAGAAAUAUUAAUGAAAAUGUAUUGAUGGCUCAAGAAUUUGUUACUGAUAUUAGGUUGAGGGGCAAACCAGAUAAUGUGAUUAUCAAGCUUGACAUGGCAAAGGCGUAUGACAAGGUUGAUUGGAGAUUUUUGAUUAAAGUAAUGGAAAAAAUGGGUUUUAAUUCUAUGAUGCUUGACAUGAUUUGGAGAAUUAUUGCUAAUAAUUGGUACUUUGUAUUGAUUAAUUGUCAAGCACAUGAUUUUUUCCAUUCAUCAAGAGGGGUUAAACAAGGAGAUCCUUUGUCUCCUGCUUUGUUUAUACUUACUGUUGAGGUAUUAACGAGAACUCUAAAUCAUCUAUUCCUAGAAGAGGAAUAUAAAGGAUAUGGCCUUUCUAAAUGGAGUGAACAGUUGAAUCACUUAUCUUAUGCUGAUGAUACAAUUAUUUUUGCCUCUACUGAUAGGAGUUCUCUCCAGUUGAUAAUGCACACAUUGAAAAUGUAUGAACAUCAAUCAGGACAACUUAUAAACAAAGAAAAAAGUGUAUUUUACUUGUUUAACAAAGUUGCUCUUAACUCUGUUCAAAUGGCGGAGGAAAUCACAGGUUUCUGCAAAUGGAGUUUUCCUUUAACUUAUUUGGGUUGUCCUAUUGGUCAUGCUAAGAAGAAGAAGAUUCAUUUCAAAGAGCUCAUCAAGAAGAUUCAAAAUAAACUCGAAAUGUGGAAAGGGAAACUUCUAUCUUAUGGGGGCAAAUCAGUGUUGAUUAACCACGUAUUGCAGAGUAUUCCUAUCUGCCUCCUCUCAGCUAUCACGCCUCCUAAAUGUGUCAUUGAUGAUAUUCAUAAGAUUUUUGCAAAAUUCUUGUGGAAUUCUAAAGAACAAGGAAUAGCCACUCAUUGGGUAGCAUGGGGGGGAUAUUUGUCUGCCCAAGGAGGAAGGAGGUUUAGGUUUUAGAUCUUUAUUUGAUGUCUCCAAAUCUUUACUUGCCAAGUUGUGGUGGAAUUUUAGAACCAAAAAUACCAUGUGGACAAAUUUUAUGUGGAAUAAGUAUUGUAAAAGACAAAGGCCACAAUUGGUGGACUGGAAAAAAGGAUCUCAAGUUUGGAAAGCUAUGUUACAAGCUAGGGAUUUCUUUGAUCAAGAGAUCUGGUGGGAACCUAGAGAAUGACAUACUAGUGUGUGGUUUAAUAACUGGACACAACUGGGUGCUUUGCAUUUUUUGAUGCUUAUAUCACAUAACCAAAGUCAACUGGAAGAUGUCAAGGAACUAUAUGUUGAAGAUGGAUGGAAGAUUAAUGCACUGGAAAGUAAUUUCAAUGAGGAUAUAUGCAAUCACAUAUGCAAUACCUUAGGAAGCUUUACUAAUACUGAAGGAAGAGAUAAAGCAUGGUGAAUGACUAGUAGUGAUGGUAAAUUCAAAAUUAGCUCAGCCUGGGAAUUAUGCAGAAGUAGAGGAGAGUAUAUAGAAAAUAUCUCCAAUAUUUGGGAGAAAGGUUUGCAUUUUAAGGUAUCCUUUUUUAUGUGGAGAUUAUGGUUUAGAAGGAUUCCUAUUGGGGAGGUCUUAAUUAGAAGGAACAUAGUUGAGAGGGUUGAUUGUAGCUGCUGCAAUAAUAGUGCUCCUGAAACUUUCUCUCAUCUAUUUGUCUAUUGUCCUAGUGCUCAAUCUGUUUGGAAAACUUUUAGAAAUGCUGCAGGGUUAUCAUUUCCAAUUAAUCAGCUUCAACAGAUUAUGGAAGAUUGGUGGAAAGCUGAUGGUACGUAGUCCUAAAUUGAAGCAAUUGUUUAAAGUAGUUCCUGCUUUCAUAACUUGGGAAAUUUGGAAGAGGGGGAAUGUGAUGAAGCAUGGUGGAAAUAUGUCAACAACCUCAAUGAUUGUAGAGAUACAUAGAAACAUCUACUUAUUUACUAAGAGUUGAUAUCCAUGGUUAAAGAAUGUCCCUCAAAACUGGCCCUUAAUUGUCAAAUAUUUUGAAGGAUAAGCUCCAUUGACAAAAACUAUGGUGGUGAGAGUCAUCCCCUCAUGGGAGUAUAUAAAUGCAAUACUGAUGCUUCUUAUCAGCUUGAAUCAAGAGUUGGGUGUAUAGCCUUUUGUAUUAGAGAUAUACAAGGAGAUUUGAAAUAUGCAGAAUCUAGAAGAAUUAAUACUACAUCUAUUUUGGAGGCAGAGGUCAUGGCAAUUAAGGAAGGGUUACAGUACUGCAAUCAAGGAAAUUUCCUUCCCUUGAUAAUUGAGCCAGACUCACUGGUGGCUCAAAAAGUUAUACAUGGAGUAUGGGAGGUCCCAUGGCAGAUAGCUUGGGAUAUCAAACACAUUCAGACAAUGAUAAAGAGUCAUGGGGUGGAGGUGGUUCACGUCCUCAGAGAAGGGAAUAGCCUCGCUGAUGCUUUAACUAAGUCGUUUGCUCAUUUUGCAGGUACAGAGAUACAACAAUAUCGAAAUAUGCAGGAACUACCACAACAUGCCAAAGCUAUUUUGCAACAAGACAAAGAAAAGACUCCUAAUUUGAGGAUCCGAAAAGUUCAAAACAAACAUUAUAAUGGUGCUUAAAAAAGAAAAAAAGAAGAAAAAGGAGCACCACAUCAGUUCAAAGCAAAUCAGGAGAGGACUAAAAUAAGAAGGUGAAAGAUUACCUUAGUCUCCUGGAAAAGGGUGAGCGAUGCAAGGUCGGAGAUUAGUCGACUUAAACAGUGGUAUUAAUCUCGGUGGGGUUCAACCUGUUGAGGAGAAUAAUCAAGGACCGAGUAUCAAAACAUAUCUCAAAGAUGAGUAAUUAAAUUAUAAAGGUAAAACUUAUCUCAAUAGCUCUUGUCUUCAAAUCUGGAUGGUGACUGAAGUGUGUCCCCAAAAUUCUUGCGCAUAACUUGAGAUCUAGCUCAGAUCGAUAAAAUUCAGGUAGAAGAAGUCUUCAAAGGUAUUUGAAUCAUUAUAUCAGUGAGAUUUGUUGAUGUGGAAGUGAUUGCAACCCAUACCUGGAUCGAUAUCGAACAGAGCUCAUAUCAAGAGGAGGUGAGUAUUUGGAAGGAUUGAUCGUCACUUUGGGAGGAUUCUCC